CACGUAGGGUCCAAGCGUUGUCCGGAUUUAUUGGGCGUAAAGAGCUCGUAGGCGGCUUGGUAAGUCGAGUGUGAAAACUCUGGGCUCAACUCAGAGACGCCACUCGAUACUGCCAUGGCUUGAGUCCGGUAGGGGAGUGUGGAAUUCCCGGUGUAGCGGUGAAAUGCGCAGAUAUCGGGAGGAACACCGGUGGCGAAGGCGGUUCUCUGGGCCUUACCUGACGCUGAGGAGCGAAAGCGUGGGGAGCGAACAGG
RNAcentral lists this ribosomal RNA (254 nucleotides) under uncultured bacterium. Its description in RNAcentral is "partial 16S ribosomal RNA". It matches the Rfam family "Bacterial small subunit ribosomal RNA", at positions 524 to 776 of the family's 1533-position model. The record is from RNAcentral.